RNAcentral lists this ribosomal RNA (136 nucleotides) under uncultured bacterium. RNAcentral's name for it is "partial 16S ribosomal RNA". It matches the Rfam family "Bacterial small subunit ribosomal RNA", at positions 355 to 507 of the family's 1533-position model. The record is from RNAcentral.
UAAGGAAUUUUCCGCAAUGGGCGAAAGCCUGACGGAGCAAUGCCGCGUGGAGGAUGAAAGCCUGUGGGUCGUAAACUCCUUUUCUCAGAGAAGAAUUUUGACGGUAUCUGAGGAAUAAGCAUCGGCUAACUCUGUG